CUGAGGCAGUGUGAUGGACUGUACUUCAUGUGGUGCUUCACGUGCUGCAGCACAGAAUGAAGUAACCCUCCCUGUCAGUUCUCUCUGGACCGUCUCACUGCAUUUACCUCGAGUCUCAGCACAGCGACAGAACCCAGCAGAACUCACAACAAGCCAGUGACAGACAUUGAAAGCCUUUUCCUGACGAUGCUGGACAUGGAUCACACAUUGAUGGUGGUCUUGAUGCUGCUCUGGAGCUCAGGUCUCUGUGCGCAAGAAAGCCACAACCACAAUGAACUUGUCAGGUUGGUGGGAGGAUCCAGUCGUUGUACUGGAGCACUGGAGAUGAAACAUAGGG
Long non-coding RNA from Epinephelus fuscoguttatus (brown-marbled grouper), 337 nucleotides. RefSeq lists it as uncharacterized. The transcript has 4 exons. The record is from RefSeq and is a predicted model, not a curated record. Lineage: Eukaryota; Metazoa; Chordata; Actinopteri; Perciformes; Serranidae.